CAAACAGGAUUAGAUACCUGGUAGUCACGCUGUAAACGAUGUCGAUUUGGAGUUUGUUGCCUAGAGUGAUGGGCUCCGAAGCUAACGCGAUAAAUCGACCGCUGGGGAGUACGGCCGCAAGGUUAAAACUCAAAUGAAUUGACGGGGGCCCGCACAAGCGGUGGAGCAUGUGGUUUAAUUCGAUGCAACGCGAAGAACCUUACCUGGUCUUGACAUCCAUAGAAUUCUGCAGAGAUGUGGGAGUGCCUUCGGGAACUAUGAGACAGGUGCUGCAUGGCUGUCGUCAGCUCGUGUUGUGAGAUGUUGGGUUAAGUCCCGCAACGAGCGCAACCCUUAUCCUUUGUUGCCAGCGAUUUGGUCGGGAACUCAAAGGAGACUGCCGUUGAUAAAGCGGAGGAAGGUGGGGACGACGUCAAGUCAUCAUGGCCCUUACGACCAGGGCUACACACGUGCUACAAUGGCGUAUACAAAGGGAAGCGAAGGUGCGAGCUGGAGCGGAUCUCAUAAAGUACGUCUAAGUUCGGAUUGGAGUCUGCAACUCGACUCCAUGAAGUCGGAAUCGCUAGUAAUCGUAGAUCAGAAUGCUACGGUGAAUACGUUCCCGGGCCUUGUACACACCGCCCGUCACACCAUGGGAGUGGGUUGCACCAGAAGUAGAUAACUUAACCGCGAGGGGGGCGUUUACCACGGUGUGAUUCAUGACUGGGGUGAAGUCGUAACAAGGUAACCA
RNAcentral lists this ribosomal RNA (730 nucleotides) under uncultured Enterobacteriaceae bacterium. RNAcentral describes it as "bacterial SSU rRNA". It matches the Rfam family "Bacterial small subunit ribosomal RNA", at positions 769 to 1502 of the family's 1533-position model. The record is from RNAcentral. Lineage: Bacteria; Pseudomonadati; Pseudomonadota; Gammaproteobacteria; Enterobacterales; Enterobacteriaceae.